RNAcentral lists this ribosomal RNA (301 nucleotides) under uncultured bacterium. Its description in RNAcentral is "partial 16S ribosomal RNA". It matches the Rfam family "Bacterial small subunit ribosomal RNA", at positions 509 to 807 of the family's 1533-position model. The record is from RNAcentral.
CAGUCGCCGCGGUAAUACGUAGGUGGCAAGCGUUGUCCGGAAUUAUUGGGCGUAAAGGGCUCGCAGGCGGUUUCUUAAGUCUGAUGUGAAAGCCCCCGGCUCAACCGGGGAGGGUCAUUGGAAACUGGGAGACUUGAGUGCAGAAGAGGAGAGUGGAAUUCCACGUGUAGCGGUGAAAUGCGUAGAGAUGUGGAGGAACACCAGUGGCGAAGGCGACUCUCAGGUCUGUAACUGACGCUGAGGAGCGAAAGCGUGGGGAGCGAACAGGAUUAGAUACCCCUGUAGUCCCUGUCUCUUAUAC